Molecule: ribosomal RNA, 577 nt
Filed under: Alternaria alternata
Lineage: Eukaryota; Fungi; Ascomycota; Dothideomycetes; Pleosporales; Pleosporaceae
Description: SSU rRNA
Rfam family: Eukaryotic small subunit ribosomal RNA
Source: RNAcentral
GCAAGUCUGGUGCCAGCAGCCGCGGUAAUUCCAGCUCCAAUAGCGUAUAUUAAAGUUGUUGCAGUUAAAAAGCUCGUAGUUGAAACUUGGGCCUGGCUGGCGGGUCCGCCUCACCGCGUGCACUCGUCCGGCCGGGCCUCUCCUUCUGAAGAACCUCAUGCCCUUCACUGGGCGUGCUGGGAAUCAGGACUUUUACUUUGAAAAAAUUAGAGUGUUCAAAGCAGGCCUUUGCUCGAAUACGUUAGCAUGGAAUAAUAGAAUAGGGCGUGCGUUUCUAUUUUGUUGGUUUCUAGGACCGCCGCAAUGAUUAACAGGAACAGUCGGGGGCAUCAGUAUUCAGUUGUCAGAGGUGAAAUUCUUGGAUUUACUUGAAGACUAACUACUGCGAAAGCAUUUGCCAAGGAUGUUUUCAUUAAUCAGUGAACGAAAGUUAGGGGAUCGAAGACGAUCAGAUACCGUCGUAGUCUUAACCGUAAACUAUGCCGACUAGGGAUCGGGCGAUGUUCUUUUUCUGACACGCUCGGCACCUUACGAGAAAUCAAAGUUUUUGGGUUCUGGGGGGAGUAUGGUCGCAAGG